CCUACGGGUGGCAGCAGUGAGGAAUAUUGGUCAAUGGCCGUAAGGCUGAACCAGCCAAGUCGCGUGAAGGAAGAAGGAUCUAUGGUUUGUAAACUUCUUUUAUAGGGGAAUAAAGGUAUCCACGUGUGGAUAUUUGCAUGUACCCUAUGAAUAAGCAUCGGCUAACUCCGUGCCAGCAGCCGCGGUAAUACGGAGGAUGCGAGCGUUAUCCGGAUUUAUUGGGUUUAAAGGGUGCGUAGGCGGGUUAUCAAGUCAGCGGUAAAAUCGUGGAGCUCAACUCCAUCCAGCCGUUGAAACUGAUGAUCUUGAGUGGGCGAGAAGUAUGCGGAAUGCGUGGUGUAGCGGUGAAAUGCAUAGAUAUCACGCAGAACUCCGAUUGCGAAGGCAGCAUACCGGCGCCCGACUGACGCUGAAGCACGAAAGCGUGGGUAUCGAACAGGAUUAGAUACCCGAGUAGUC
This 459-nucleotide ribosomal RNA is filed under the name uncultured bacterium. RNAcentral's name for it is "partial 16S ribosomal RNA". It matches the Rfam family "Bacterial small subunit ribosomal RNA", at positions 338 to 795 of the family's 1533-position model. The record is from RNAcentral.